Molecule: non-coding RNA, 923 nt
Organism: Cyanistes caeruleus (blue tit)
Lineage: Eukaryota; Metazoa; Chordata; Aves; Passeriformes; Paridae
Source: RefSeq, a predicted model, not a curated record
CACCACCAAGGAAAUUAAUCUGUGCUUCUUAAUAUGACCAUUGACUCUACAAGAUUGUGCAGACUUACCUCAAAUACAGGCACUGAAACAAAUACCCAUUUAAGAUCCUAGAGGACCACAACCCUUAACAUCUAUCAUUUCUGUGACAGGAAUUUUGGAGAGAAGGCUCAGAUAGCACGAAACAAGAGCAACAAGAGCAACAAGAAAUUGCUCACAUCUGUUCUGCAAGCAUCCUGUAAAGCACUAGAAGUUGUUGGUAGCAAGUGCCUUGCUGACUGCUGGCUGCAGGACUCUGAGCUCUGCCUCUGUGCAACCUGGCUGUUCUCAGAGUAGUUGCUUGGGUUUUUCAUCUGGGUUUUUUAAUUUUCUUGGGAUGGUUCUCUAAGACAAUUUCUUUUAGCUACUCUAAUCUCUAAAAUAGUCUGAAAAACAGUAGCCAAAGGCAGUGUAAAGAAGACAGCACAAGCACAGUGUUUCUGCUGCUGUCUAGCACAAUGAGACAGGAGAGCUCUCUUGCUGCUGGAACCUUCACAUCAUUUGAAGAUGCGUCCUUGGAGCACCUUAAUCUCAAGAGAUAUAACAUGGCAGUUCCAUUUUACCCCCAAGCUACUGUGAACCAGUACCACACCUGACCCAGCCUUGUCAUGGACCUUUGUAUCACGGACAUGAAUAUUUUAAAAUUGCCUCUCCUCAACAAAUUGAGCACAACCUGUCCCAGCUUUAGUCAGAUCACAGUAAUAGCAUGUGUUGGCUGAAUGGAAUAUUAUUCUAGGUUUUAAAUGAAAUAUACACACUGUGAAAGAUAGCCCAUAGUAACAAUGGCUUUGGAUAGGGGAUGGUGCUUCCCUUUGAAAUAUUCCAGGCUUUGUCCAGCUUUUUCAAAUUGCAUUGUAAAAGCAAGUAAACAUUCACAUUUAAAAAUA